RNAcentral lists this ribosomal RNA (492 nucleotides) under uncultured bacterium. RNAcentral's name for it is "partial 16S ribosomal RNA". It matches the Rfam family "Bacterial small subunit ribosomal RNA", at positions 29 to 507 of the family's 1533-position model. The record is from RNAcentral.
AGUGAACGCUGGCGGUAGGCCUAACACAUGCAAGUCGAACGGCAGCACAGUAAGAGCUUGCUCUUACGGGUGGCGAGUGGCGGACGGGUGAGGAAUACAUCGGAAUCUACUUUUUCGUGGGGGAUAACGUAGGGAAACUUACGCUAAUACCGCAUACGACCUACGGGUGAAAGCAGGGGAUCUUCGGACCUUGCGCGAUUGAAUGAGCCGAUGUCGGAGUAGCUAGUUGGCGGGGUAAAGGCCCACCAAGGCGACGAUCCGUAGCUGGUCUGAGAGGAUGAUCAGCGACACUGGAACUGAGACACGGUCCAGACUCCUACGGGAGGCAGCAGUGGGGAAUAUUGGACAAUGGGCGCAAGCCUGAUCCAGACAUACCGCGUGGGUGAAGAAGGCCUUCGGGUUGUAAAGCCCUUUUGUUGGGAAAGAAAAGCAGCAGGUUAAUACCCCGCUGUUCUGACGGUACCCAAAGAAUAAGCACCGGCUAACUUCGUG